AGUAAAGUGGCGCACGGGUGAGUAACACGUGGAUAAUCUGCCUUUUUGUGGGGGGAGUAACCUGGGGGAAAACCUGGGCUAAUACCGCAUAAGCUCGAGAGAGGAAAGCCGCAAGGCGCAGGAAGAGGAGUCCGCGGUCGAUUAGCUAGUUGGUAGGGUAAAAGCCUACCAAGGCCACGAUCGAUAGCCGGCCUGAGAGGGCACACGGCCACACUGGCACUGAAACACGGGCCAG
This 235-nucleotide ribosomal RNA is filed under the name uncultured bacterium. Its description in RNAcentral is "partial 16S ribosomal RNA". It matches the Rfam family "Bacterial small subunit ribosomal RNA", at positions 89 to 334 of the family's 1533-position model. The record is from RNAcentral.